This 1568-nucleotide ribosomal RNA is filed under the name Escherichia coli. RNAcentral describes it as "partial 23S ribosomal RNA". It matches the Rfam family "Bacterial large subunit ribosomal RNA", at positions 657 to 2208 of the family's 2925-position model. The record is from RNAcentral. Lineage: Bacteria; Pseudomonadati; Pseudomonadota; Gammaproteobacteria; Enterobacterales; Enterobacteriaceae.
AUAGGGGAGCCGAAGGGAAACCGAGUCUUAACUGGGCGUUAAGUUGCAGGGUAUAGACCCGAAACCCGGUGAUCUAGCCAUGGGCAGGUUGAAGGUUGGGUAACACUAACUGGAGGACCGAACCGACUAAUGUUGAAAAAUUAGCGGAUGACUUGUGGCUGGGGGUGAAAGGCCAAUCAAACCGGGAGAUAGCUGGUUCUCCCCGAAAGCUAUUUAGGUAGCGCCUCGUGAAUUCAUCUCCGGGGGUAGAGCACUGUUUCGGCAAGGGGGUCAUCCCGACUUACCAACCCGAUGCAAACUGCGAAUACCGGAGAAUGUUAUCACGGGAGACACACGGCGGGUGCUAACGUCCGUCGUGAAGAGGGAAACAACCCAGACCGCCAGCUAAGGUCCCAAAGUCAUGGUUAAGUGGGAAACGAUGUGGGAAGGCCCAGACAGCCAGGAUGUUGGCUUAGAAGCAGCCAUCAUUUAAAGAAAGCGUAAUAGCUCACUGGUCGAGUCGGCCUGCGCGGAAGAUGUAACGGGGCUAAACCAUGCACCGAAGCUGCGGCAGCGACACUGUGUGUUGUUGGGUAGGGGAGCGUUCUGUAAGCCUGUGAAGGUGUGCUGUGAGGCAUGCUGGAGGUAUCAGAAGUGCGAAUGCUGACAUAAGUAACGAUAAAGCGGGUGAAAAGCCCGCUCGCCGGAAGACCAAGGGUUCCUGUCCAACGUUAAUCGGGGCAGGGUGAGUCGACCCCUAAGGCGAGGCCGAAAGGCGUAGUCGAUGGGAAACAGGUUAAUAUUCCUGUACUUGGUGUUACUGCGAAGGGGGGACGGAGAAGGCUAUGUUGGCCGGGCGACGGUUGUCCCGGUUUAAGCGUGUAGGCUGGUUUUCCAGGCAAAUCCGGAAAAUCAAGGCUGAGGCGUGAUGACGAGGCACUACGGUGCUGAAGCAACAAAUGCCCUGCUUCCAGGAAAAGCCUCUAAGCAUCAGGUAACAUCAAAUCGUACCCCAAACCGACACAGGUGGUCAGGUAGAGAAUACCAAGGCGCUUGAGAGAACUCGGGUGAAGGAACUAGGCAAAAUGGUGCCGUAACUUCGGGAGAAGGCACGCUGAUAUGUAGGUGAAGUCCCUCGCGGAUGGAGCUGAAAUCAGUCGAAGAUACCAGCUGGCUGCAACUGUUUAUUAAAAACACAGCACUGUGCAAACACGAAAGUGGACGUAUACGGUGUGACGCCUGCCCGGUGCCGGAAGGUUAAUUGAUGGGGUCAGCGCAAGCGAAGCUCUUGAUCGAAGCCCCGGUAAACGGCGGCCGUAACUAUAACGGUCCUAAGGUAGCGAAAUUCCUUGUCGGGUAAGUUCCGACCUGCACGAAUGGCGUAAUGAUGGCCAGGCUGUCUCCACCCGAGACUCAGUGAAAUUGAACUCGCUGUGAAGAUGCAGUGUACCCGCGGCAAGACGGAAAGACCCCGUGAACCUUUACUAUAGCUUGACACUGAACAUUGAGCCUUGAUGUGUAGGAUAGGUGGGAGGCUUUGAAGUGUGGACGCCAGUCUGCAUGGAGCCGACCUUGAAAUACCACCCUUU